CAGGGAAUAUUGCGCAAUGGGGGCAACCCUGACGCAGCGACGCCACGUGUGGGAUGGAGCGCCUAGGCGUGUAAACCACUGUCGCGAGGGAAUAGCGCGCGGCUUCGGCCGCGAUGAAUGUACCUUGAGAGGAAGCGCCGGCAAACUUCGUGCCAGCAGCCGCGGUAAUACGAGGGGCGCGAGCGUUGUUCGGAAUCACUGGGCGUAAAGGGAGCGCAGGCUGCCCUUCAAGCCGGGCGUGCAAGUCCGCGGCCUAACCGCGGGAUUGCGCCCGGGACUGAGGGGCUUGGAUGUUCCAGAGGCUGGCGGAAUUCCCGGUGGAGCGGUGGAAUGCGUAGAUAUCGGGAAGAACACCGGAGGCGAAGGCGGCCGGCUGGGGAAUCAUCGACGCUGCAGCUCGAAAGCGCGGGUAGCAAACAGGAUUAGAUACCCUGGUAGUCCGCGCCGUAAACGAUGCGCGCUUGGCGCCCGGGGGCAACUGCCCCUGGGUGCCGGAGCUAACGCGAUAAGCGCGCCGCCU
Molecule: ribosomal RNA, 520 nt
Filed under: uncultured bacterium
Lineage: Bacteria
Description: bacterial SSU rRNA
Rfam family: Bacterial small subunit ribosomal RNA
Source: RNAcentral